This 999-nucleotide long non-coding RNA is filed under the name Felis catus (domestic cat). Its description in RNAcentral is "lncRNA (ENSFCAG00000053045.1)". The record is from RNAcentral. Lineage: Eukaryota; Metazoa; Chordata; Mammalia; Carnivora; Felidae.
AUGGGAAGCUCAGUGAAGGCAGAGAUGGCACAUAAUAGCAUUCAGCUGGUGUUCUGGAUGGAUAGAUGCGUGGGUCUGCAGAUGGAUGGAAAGAGUAAAACAGGCAUGAAUGUCACUGAGGGAUUGUCGCUGAUGUCACCUCAAGCUUCAGCCUCACUGCUGUGUUGUGAUCAUAAUAGUCUAACAGAGCCGCCAGCCCAGUGGAAAUCCAUGUGCUGCUUGUUUCUUCAAUUUCUUGUGGCUAAACCAAUGACGAUGACGGUUUCAGGAAAAGAAGAAGAUAGAAAGUCCUUCCAAGCCAUGACUGAGGGAGUCGGAAAAGUUUGGUGCUUGAAAUAGAAGGACAACAUUGUAGAGUCAGGGACAAGAGCACAGGAUUUGGAGCUUGAUGACCCAGCUCUGCUACUAAGUACGAACAACCUUGAGGAGGUACGUCACUUAACCUUUCUAGACCUGUUUCCUCAUCUGUAAAAUGAGGAUAAUGAUAUUCUUCCCUAUCUACCUUGCAUCAUUGCUCUGACUAGCAAAUGAUAGAAUGUGAAACCUUUCACAUCAUCUAUGAAUAUGACUUGCCCCUGCUGCUGCUGUUUCUACCUCCAUCAGCACCGCGAUGGCUACCACUCACACUGUGCUUCCAGCUACUACUACUUGGGCACUGAUGUGACUAGGGAGAGUAGGCACUGGUUUCCCUCAAUUCCAUGGGGCCUCUUUUGGAAGGACAGCUUUGCUUCAAAAGGGCAAGUGCUAGACUAGGGGUUAGAAGACCAGUUUCUUGCCACUCAAGAAAUGUGUGACUCCGGAGAAGGCAUCUCAGUCCCUCCAUGUGUGAAAUGAGGGGAUGUCACUCACCAGUGGUUUUCAAGCUGCUUUUCUUCAGAGCCCUAGGUAUCUGCUUCCAUCUGAUCUGUUUCAUUAUUAUAUGAUUUUAUGUGUAGCGUUUCUGUGUAAAAUUUUGUUUAGAAAAUGAAAAUAAAGUUCCAGUUUUAAAAAGGGCUUACA